GCUUGGCGCCUGGGCCCAGGACCUCCCUGCAGUUCCUUUUCCCUGCCUCCCAGUCACUCUGUCCCAUAAGGACUCCAGCCAGCUCACUGCCAGAGCUGGUUGACCAGUCAGAAGUUACACUGGGUCAGCCUCAGACCCCAGGGCAGAGAAGUCAAGAGUUCCCCAGGCACAAGCCAAGACUAGGACUACAGCUGCCUCUUGGCAGCUUGGCUUCCUCUCUCCAGGCUAAGUCACCUGGCAUCGACUACCAACCCAUCUACCACUGCUCCUUACCCAGAACCCAGGCACCGAGAUCCCUGCUGCUUCCUGCUUGAUCUUUACCCACCGUUUAAGGUGACCUAGAGCUGCGCUCUGACAGCAGCCGUGAUUUCACAGGACGGGUGUUGCCAGGUGGCUUGGCUGAUGGGGAGUGGAAAGGAGUAGGUAUGACGAGAACCUCCUGUGGGUAGUUUCAAAUCAAACCUGUGGGAAAAGGCUCCAGGCCAGGGGCACCGCAGGUGGGCCCCAUGGGUGCCCUGCUCUUACAGGCAGCACCCAGGCGGAAAGGGGGGGGCCUGCCGAUGGCUUUUUUGUCCCUGCCACUUUGCACAUUGGCAUGUGGUACAUAGAUGAAGGCCACACUAGGGACUAUGGCCUUGAACAUACUGUUCUGGUGGCGACUUACAGACCCCCAUACCUGCCUCUCCCUGGCCAACGCUGACCAACAGUGGCAGCUACCACUGUCCCCAGUGCACAACCUGAGCUGCCAGCACCUCGCCUGCAUAUUGAUGGGCUUUGCUGAGGGGGGGAGGGGCACCACCUGCCAGCUGGCUGUUUACCCACCCUGAGGAUGCUGGUUGGCUCCCGUAUCCCACUCCCUGUAUCACCCUUAAAGGGUGUUGAAGGAUAUAGCUAGCUUCCAUGCAUACUGCACCUUUGGCUCCUCCAGUACUCCAGCCCCUUCUUUCCAGGCCUGGGAAGUGGAAAAGCUCUACUCUUGCUGCUCAGGCUGUCCUGGCCCUUGGACUAAUCAGGAAAGAAUCAGGUUCCCUUGCUUCAGUACUCUUGUUACAUCUUUUCCUGACACUGCUCCUCCCCAAACACCAUCUUUAAUGGAGGCUACACCUGCCCUUCUUCCCCUCCCCUCCCCAGUUCCCCGCUUUAGGUAUCUUACUUCCUAUCAGAGUGAUGUCAUGAGGUCUUCUAAGGCCCCCAUUGGUGUCAACUGCUGGUUUGUCUUGUAGAGUGGGCACUGACCAGUGCCAUCUUCCCCAAGUUAGUCGGUCCAUGGGAGAUCAGAAGUGAGUUGUCACAAUGUUUGAAUUCCAGUCCUGGCCUGGCAGCUCAGUUGGUUAGAGCAUCCUCUGAUUACUCCAAGGUUGCGGGUUUGAUCCCCAAUCAGGGUACAUAUAAGAAUCAAGCAAUGAAUGCAUGAAUAAGUGGAACAACAAAUGGAUGUUUUUUCUCCUUUCCUCUCUCUAAAAUUAAUUAAAAAAUUAAAUGUCUGAAUUCCAA
Eptesicus fuscus (big brown bat) is the source of this 1494-nucleotide long non-coding RNA. RefSeq lists it as uncharacterized. NCBI's taxonomy places the organism in Eukaryota, Metazoa, Chordata, Mammalia, Chiroptera, Vespertilionidae. The record is from RefSeq and is a predicted model, not a curated record. The transcript is spliced from 2 exons.